This 429-nucleotide ribosomal RNA is filed under the name Pseudomonadota bacterium. Its description in RNAcentral is "Proteobacteria bacterium partial 16S ribosomal RNA". It matches the Rfam family "Bacterial small subunit ribosomal RNA", at positions 355 to 776 of the family's 1533-position model. The record is from RNAcentral. Lineage: Bacteria; Pseudomonadati; Pseudomonadota.
UGGGGAAUAUUGGACAAUGGGCGAAAGCCUGAUCCAGCCAUGCCGCGUGUGUGAAGAAGGUCUUCGGAUUGUAAUGCACUUUAAGUUGGGAGGAAGGGCAGUAAGCGAAUACCUUGCUGUUUUGACGUUACCGACAGAAUAAGCACCGGCUAACUCUGUGCCAGCAGCCGCGGUAAUACAGAGGGUGCAAGCGUUAAUCGGAAUUACUGGGCGUAAAGCGCGCGUAGGUGGUUCGUUAAGUUGAAUGUGAAAGCCCCGGGCUCAACCUGGGAACUGCAUCCAAAACUGGCGAGCUAGAGUAGGGCAGAGGGUGGUGGAAUUGCCUGUGUAGCGGUGAAAUGCGUAAAUAUAGGAAGGAACACCAGUGGCGAAGGCGACCACCUGGGCUCAUAAUGAAACUGAGGUGCGAAAGCGUGGGGAGCAAACAGG